GAUGAACGCUGGCGGCGUGCUUAACACAUGCAAGUCGAACGAAGCAUUUCGGUCUUAAUCUUCGGAAGCAGACUGAUCUGACUGAGUGGCGGACGGGUGAGUAACGCGUGGGUAACCUGCCCUGUACAGGGGGAUAACAGUUAGAAAUGACUGCUAACACCGCAUAAGCGCACAGGAAGGCAUCUUUCGGUGUGAAAAUAUUUAUAGGUACAGGAUGGGCCCGCGUCUGAUUAGCCAGUUGGCAGGGUAACGGCCUACCAAAGCAACGAUCAGUGGCCGGCUUGAGAGAGUGAACGGCCACAUUGGGACUGAGACACGGCCCAAACUCCUACGGGAGGCAGCAGUGGGGAAUAUUGCACAAUGGGGGAAACCCUGAUGCAGCGACGCCGCGUGAGUGAAGAAGUAUUUCGGUAUGUAAAGCUCUAACAGCAGGGAAGAAAAUGACGGUACCUGACUAAGAAGCCCCGGCUAACUACGUGCCAGCAGCCGCAGUAA
This 495-nucleotide ribosomal RNA is filed under the name uncultured bacterium. Its description in RNAcentral is "partial 16S ribosomal RNA". It matches the Rfam family "Bacterial small subunit ribosomal RNA", at positions 28 to 523 of the family's 1533-position model. The record is from RNAcentral.